GACGACCGGCCGAACACGUAUGUGUCCGGCCCACAAGUGGAGGCUCCGAACUCCCACCUGAUCGCCCCUCGGGGCGGCGGGUCACCGGUCAGGCGGCCACCACCGUUCCGUACGGACGGUGGAGUCGCCCGAUAUUACGCCCCGCGGUUGACCUGCGGCGGUGUUCCGGCAUUCCAGGAGCCCCGCCUGUGUCCCGUCCGGGGCAUUUUUC
Molecule: non-coding RNA, 211 nt
Filed under: Streptomyces davaonensis JCM 4913
Lineage: Bacteria; Bacillati; Actinomycetota; Actinomycetes; Kitasatosporales; Streptomycetaceae
Description: Streptomyces davawensis JCM 4913 Streptomyces RNA 1601
Rfam family: Streptomyces RNA 1601
About the family: Identified by deep sequencing of transcriptome at the end of exponential growth phase. Appears longer on northern blot than sequencing transcript.
Source: Rfam by way of RNAcentral